Molecule: unclassified non-coding RNA, 202 nt
Filed under: Hevea brasiliensis (rubber tree)
Lineage: Eukaryota; Viridiplantae; Streptophyta; Magnoliopsida; Malpighiales; Euphorbiaceae
Source: RNAcentral
GUGUAAUUGAAAUAUGUAUGAAGCCCAUUAUUUCUGAUAGAUAAUUUUAGAAUGUUUUUUCUUUUAAUGCCUGUCAUUGGAUUAAAUUUUGCUUGUAGGAAAGAAAAUUUCAGUAUAAGAGACAUUUUUGCAUGAAAUUAGUGUAUUUUGUAUAUAUAUUUCCCAGUUAAGUUGUGGUCCUUACUGUCAAAAUCAAAUUUCA